This 755-nucleotide long non-coding RNA is filed under the name Equus asinus (donkey). RNAcentral's name for it is "lncRNA (ENSEASG00005035280.1)". The record is from RNAcentral. Lineage: Eukaryota; Metazoa; Chordata; Mammalia; Perissodactyla; Equidae.
GCCACGUGGUCGGCUCUGCCUGCUGCUCCCGGCGCCGUGGAACAGUUGCCGGUAACCCGCUGCGUUGUGUACACGUAUGGCCUUACAAAUCUCAGAAUACUGAGAUCUCUGUUUUCCGACUGGUGCACGAGAUGGGGUAUGUUGGGGCAGACAGAUUAUGAAGCUUGGAUUCAAAGAGUACCUUGGCAGAGGCAGACCCAAAACAGGAACCCAGCUCUCCAAAUUCCCAGGCCGGUGGACUCCCACAAGUGUACAGGAAGGAAUGACUGAGAAUUAUUUCAAAUUUUGAAUUUAAAAAAUUCAGAGUCAUAAAAUUCUGGCCUUAAUUUUUGAUUUUGAUCCAUAUGAGAGAUGAAACUGACCUGGCAAGAGAUAACUGUAUCUAUCCUCUACCAUCAACAUCCUAACCAAGAAUGAAAAAGUUGCAUCACCCCUUGUUUACAUACGAGUUGUAGUCCUGCUACACAGACGUCAAAGAGAAAAAGAAGUCACCUGGAGCCUUGGGCAGGUCUCCACAAAAUGACUGAGAGUCCCUCUGCAAUUAUACAAAAUCCUGCAAAGACAUGAAUACAGACUCAAUCAUGGAGUCUGUUAAAUCUGAGCUGCACCGUGACUGGCAAUGCAUCGCUCUCUCCUUGUGCACUGCGUCACGAAGGAAGAUGGGGACUCAACAUGAAUUAGAUGUCAGCAAGCUCACAGAGGGUAGCCCUUUCCACAUUCCCUCUACUUCCAAAUGCAGCAAGCUAUCUCAAAAU